AGAGACAUGGAAAAAUAUUAAGUUAAAACUCUGUUUGGGACCCCCCCAGAUGCAGUGAAUUGGUGAACAAGUGAGACCAUCAUAUGAUAGAUUUCUCUUACAGGCUUUACAGCUAUUGAAAUAUCUUCUCUUUUCUUCACCCCCUUUUACAAACACCACCUUCUUAAUCUUUUAAAGGCCUUCAUAUUCUCCCUCCUCCCUCUCUCUCCUUUGUAUUCAAACAUACAGUCCGAUGGCUUCAUCAAGAAACUACCCAAAUGGGCUAAGCAUUGCGGCCAUCAUGCUGCUCAUCAUCUUGUCCCUCCCACUUCUUCCUUCCAGAUCAGUUGGGUCAGAGUCUUCGGAAGAUGGUGAGAAUUUGAAGCAAAUGAAAAUGGUGCUGGGAUCAAGGCCCCCCAAGUGUGUCAACAGGUGCUUGAGUUGCAGACCUUGCACAGCAGCUCUAGUCAUUCCUCCCCCCCAUAAAAAUGGGCUCGAGGCAUUCGCUCAGGAAGAUGAGAGCUAUUACCUCCUCUCUUGGAAAUGCAAGUGUGGAAAUAAGUUAUUUCAACCUUGAAAACCAUUCAUACACCCUAAGCUGAGGAUAUUCCCAUGUACAUAACAAGAUAAGAGGUAGCUAGUGUGCUGCAGAUAACUGUUGAGCUUCUUCAUGGUUUGGACUCACAAACUCUUCCAUGUUAACCAGCUCUCUCUUGUCUUGAAUUUUGAUUCAUCUGCUUUCGUCA
Long non-coding RNA from Vitis riparia (riverbank grape), 725 nucleotides. RefSeq lists it as uncharacterized. Lineage: Eukaryota; Viridiplantae; Streptophyta; Magnoliopsida; Vitales; Vitaceae. The transcript is spliced from 2 exons. The record is from RefSeq and is a predicted model, not a curated record.